Molecule: ribosomal RNA, 328 nt
Filed under: uncultured eukaryote
Lineage: Eukaryota
Description: partial 18S ribosomal RNA
Rfam family: Eukaryotic small subunit ribosomal RNA
Source: RNAcentral
CCCUUAGAUGUCCUGGGCCGCACGCGCGCUACACUGAUGCAUGCAACGAGUUUAUAACCUUGGCCUGAAAGGUCUGGGUAAUCUUUUGAACGUGCAUCGUGAUAGGAAUAGAUUAUUGCAAUUGUUAAUCUUGAACGAGGAAUUCCUAGUAAACGCGAGUCAUCAGCUCGCAUUGAUUACGUCCCUGCCCUUUGUACACACCGCCCGUCGCACCUACCGAUUGAAUGGUUCGGUGAAGAUCUCGGACUUCGAUAUUUAUUCUUUAUUGAGUUUAUAUUGUGGGAAGUUAUCUAAACCUCAUCAUUUAGAGGAAGGUGAAGUCGUAACA